RNAcentral lists this ribosomal RNA (469 nucleotides) under uncultured bacterium. Its description in RNAcentral is "partial 16S ribosomal RNA". It matches the Rfam family "Bacterial small subunit ribosomal RNA", at positions 29 to 506 of the family's 1533-position model. The record is from RNAcentral.
AUGAACGCUGGCGGCGUGGCUAAGGCAUGCAAGUCGAACGAAGCUAAUGGUGUAGCAAUACAUUGUUAGACUGAGUGGCAAACGGGAGCGUAACACAUUGGUAACCUACCUGCUUCUCGUGAAUAACUCAUGGAAACGUGAGCUAAUACACGAUACGGAUGAGGGGGCGCAAGCCAUUCUCAUUGAAAGAUUUAUCGGAAGCAGAGGGGCCUAUGGUCCAUCAGCUAGUUGGCGGGGUAAAGGCCCACCAAGGCUAUGACGGAUACCAGGCGCAAGAGCGCGACCUGGCUCACUGGGACUGAGACACUGCCCAGACACCUACGGGUGGCUGCAGUCGCGAAUAUUCCACAAUGCACGAAAGUGUGAUGGAGCGACGCCGCGUGUCGGAAGAAGGCCUUCGGGUCGUAAACGACUUUUGUCAGGGACGAAUCAUGACGGUACCUGAAGAAUAAGAGGUUGCUAACUCUGU